GCGCCUAUAGCUCAGUUGGUAGAGCAGGGGACUUUUAAUCCUCGGGUCCAGGGUUCGAGCCCCUGUGGGCGCA
Molecule: transfer RNA, 73 nt
Filed under: Propionibacterium sp. oral taxon 192 str. F0372
Lineage: Bacteria; Bacillati; Actinomycetota; Actinomycetes; Propionibacteriales; Propionibacteriaceae
Also listed under: 1 other name
Rfam family: tRNA
About the family: Transfer RNA (tRNA) molecules are approximately 80 nucleotides in length.
Source: Rfam by way of RNAcentral